This 71-nucleotide transfer RNA is filed under the name Loxodonta africana (African savanna elephant). It matches the Rfam family "tRNA". From Rfam's summary of the family: Transfer RNA (tRNA) molecules are approximately 80 nucleotides in length. Lineage: Eukaryota; Metazoa; Chordata; Mammalia; Proboscidea; Elephantidae. The record is from Rfam by way of RNAcentral.
GCUGUGGUGGCUCAGGGGCGGGUUUCUUGCCUUCCAUGCAGAAGAGCUGGGUUCGAUUCCCAGCCAAUGCA